RNAcentral lists this ribosomal RNA (3120 nucleotides) under Streptomyces noursei. Its description in RNAcentral is "23S ribosomal RNA". It matches the Rfam family "Bacterial large subunit ribosomal RNA". Lineage: Bacteria; Bacillati; Actinomycetota; Actinomycetes; Kitasatosporales; Streptomycetaceae. The record is from RNAcentral.
GGCCAAGUUUUUAAGGGCGCACGGUGGAUGCCUUGGCACCAGGAACCGAUGAAGGACGUGGGAGGCCACGAUAGGCCCCGGGGAGCUGUCAACCGAGCUUUGAUCCGGGGUGUCCGAAUGGGGAAACCCGGCAGUCGUCAUGGGCUGUCACCCGCUGCUGAACACAUAGGCAGUGUGGAGGGAACGCGGGGAAGUGAAACAUCUCAGUACCCGCAGGAAGAGAAAACAACCGUGAUUCCGGGAGUAGUGGCGAGCGAAACUGGAUGAGGCCAAACCAGUCACGUGUGAUACCCGGCAGGGGUUGCGUGGUUGGGGUUGUGGGAUCUCUCUUUUGCAGUCUGCCGGCUGUGAGGCGAGUCAGAAACCGUUGAUGUAGGCGAAGGACAUGCGAAAGGUCCGGCGUAGAGGGUAAGACCCCCGUAGCUGAAACAUUAGCGGCUCGUUUGAGAGACACCCAAGUAGCACGGGGCCCGAGAAAUCCCGUGUGAAUCUGGCGGGACCACCCGUUAAGCCUAAAUAUUCCCUGGUGACCGAUAGCGGAUAGUACCGUGAGGGAAUGGUGAAAAGUACCGCGGGAGCGGAGUGAAAUAGUACCUGAAACCGUGUGCCUACAAGCCGUGGGAGCGUCGCGCAGAGAACUUGUUCUUUGCGUCGUGACUGCGUGCCUUUUGAAGAAUGAGCCUGCGAGUUUGCGGUAUGUUGCGAGGUUAACCCGUGUGGGGAAGCCGUAGCGAAAGCGAGUCCGAAUAGGGCGUGGAGUAGCAUGCUCAAGACCCGAAGCGGAGUGAUCUAGCCAUGGGCAGGUUGAAGCGGAGGUAAGACUUCGUGGAGGACCGAACCCACCAGGGUUGAAAACCUGGGGGAUGACCUGUGGUUAGGGGUGAAAGGCCAAUCAAACUCCGUGAUAGCUGGUUCUCCCCGAAAUGCAUUUAGGUGCAGCGUCGUGUGUUUCUUGCCGGAGGUAGAGCACUGGAUAGGCGAUGGGCCCUACCGGGUUACUGACCUUAGCCAAACUCCGAAUGCCGGUAAGUGAGAGCGCGGCAGUGAGACUGUGGGGGAUAAGCUCCAUGGUCGAGAGGGAAACAGCCCAGAGCAUCGACUAAGGCCCCUAAGCGUGUGCUAAGUGGGAAAGGAUGUGGAGUCGCAGAGACAACCAGGAGGUUGGCUUAGAAGCAGCCACCCUUGAAAGAGUGCGUAAUAGCUCACUGGUCAAGUGAUUCCGCGCCGACAAUGUAGCGGGGCUCAAGUACACCGCCGAAGUCGUGUCAUUGCGAUAUUACUCCUAACGGGGAUCGUGAUGGGUAGGGGAGCGUCGUGUGCCGGGUGAAGCAGCCGUGGAAACGAGUUGUGGACGGUUCACGAGUGAGAAUGCAGGCAUGAGUAGCGAUACAAGAGUGGGAAACUCUUGCGCCGAUUGACUAAGGGUUCCUGGGUCAAGCUGAUCUGCCCAGGGUAAGUCGGGACCUAAGGCGAGGCCGACAGGCGUAGUCGAUGGACAACCGGUUGAUAUUCCGGUACCCGCUUUGAAGCGCCCAAUACUGAAUCAGGCGAUGCUAAGUCCGUGAAGCCGCCCUGGAUCCUUCGGGUGAAGGGGAGUGGUGGAGCCGACGGACCAGACUUGUAGUAGGUAAGCGAUGGGGUGACGCAGGAAGGUAGUCCAGCCCGGGCGGUGGUUGUCCCGGGGUAAGGGUGUAGGCCGUGUGGUAGGUAAAUCCGUCGCACGUUAAGGCUGAGACCUGAUGCCGAGCCGAUUGUGGUGAAGUGGAUGAUCCUAUGCUGUCGAGAAAAGCCUCUAGUGAGUUUCAAGGCGGCCCGUACCCUAAACCGACUCAGGUGGUCAGGUAGAGAAUACCGAGGCGUUCGGGUGAACUAUGGUUAAGGAACUCGGCAAAAUGCCCCCGUAACUUCGGGAGAAGGGGGCCAUUUCUGGUGAGGGAACUUGCUUCCUGAGCUGGGGGUGGCCGCAGAGACCAGCGAGAAGCGACUGUUUACUAAAAACACAGGUCCGUGCGAAGCCGUAAGGCGAUGUAUACGGACUGACGCCUGCCCGGUGCUGGAACGUUAAGGGGACCGGUUAGCUUGGAUUCGUUCAGGCGAAGCUGAGAACUUAAGCGCCAGUAAACGGCGGUGGUAACUAUAACCAUCCUAAGGUAGCGAAAUUCCUUGUCGGGUAAGUUCCGACCUGCACGAAUGGCGUAACGACUUCUCGACUGUCUCAACCAUAGGCCCGGUGAAAUUGCAUUACGAGUAAAGAUGCUCGUUUCGCGCAGCAGGACGGAAAGACCCCGGGACCUUUACUAUAGCUUGAUAUUGGUGUUCGGUUCGGCUUGUGUAGGAUAGGUGGGAGACUGUGAAGCGCCAACGCCAGUUGGUGUGGAGUCGUUGUUGAAAUACCACUCUGGUCGUGCUGGAUGUCUAACCUGGGUCCGUGAUCCGGAUCAGGGACAGUGUCUGGUGGGUAGUUUAACUGGGGCGGUUGCCUCCUAAAGAGUAACGGAGGCGCCCAAAGGUUCCCUCAGCCUGGUUGGUAAUCAGGUGUUGAGUGUAAGUGCACAAGGGAGCUUGACUGUGAGACUGACGGGUCGAGCAGGUACGAAAGUAGGGACUAGUGAUCCGGCGGUGGCUUGUGGAAGCGCCGUCGCUCAACGGAUAAAAGGUACCCCGGGGAUAACAGGCUGAUCUUCCCCAAGAGUCCAUAUCGACGGGAUGGUUUGGCACCUCGAUGUCGGCUCGUCGCAUCCUGGGGCUGGAGUCGGUCCCAAGGGUUGGGCUGUUCGCCCAUUAAAGCGGUACGCGAGCUGGGUUUAGAACGUCGUGAGACAGUUCGGUCCCUAUCCGCUGUGCGCGUAGGAGUCUUGAGAAGGGCUGUCCCUAGUACGAGAGGACCGGGACGGACGAACCUCUGGUGUGCCAGUUGUUCUGCCAAGGGCAUGGCUGGUUGGCUACGUUCGGAAAGGAUAACCGCUGAAAGCAUCUAAGCGGGAAGCCUGCUUCGAGAUGAGGGCUCCCUCCUCCUUGAGAGGGUAAGGCUCCCAGUAGACGACUGGGUUGAUAGGCCAGAUAUGGAAGCACUGUAAGGUGUGGAGUUGACUGGUACUAAUAGGCCGAGGGCUUGUCCUC